This is an RNA transcript of Solanum tuberosum (potato), 3360 nucleotides long. RefSeq lists it as uncharacterized. The transcript has 9 exons. The record is from RefSeq and is a predicted model, not a curated record. NCBI's taxonomy places the organism in Eukaryota, Viridiplantae, Streptophyta, Magnoliopsida, Solanales, Solanaceae.
UGCUAUAAAGAGUACCCACAAGAAAAAGGAAAAAUGAGUUCUUCAAUAGUUUCAUACCUUUUCUUUCACCUUUCUAUGUAACAAAGAAGAAAGCAAAAGGGGUUAAUCGUAUAAAAAAAAGAGGUGGGUUUUAUGAGCUGAUGCUGAAAUUGGGUUUCUCCAAUAGCAUGGAUCUUGGCAAAUCUUGGAAUAGUAGUAGUAGUAGUAGUGUUGUCAGCUCUUCCCAUAGUUUUAAUUUCAGUUACUUCCAUUCAUUAACGUCAGCUCUCUUGUUUUUGUCUUUUGGGAGUUCAGUUUCAGUACCCAAAAUGGCCUUAUUUAAUUUCUCAACCAUUAUACCUUCUUUUGAUGAUGAUUUGAUUGUAAAGUUUUCAUCUUUUUCAUUUUCUUGAAGAAGAAAGACUCCAAUUUAAUCAACAUCACUCUCUCCUCAACUGUUUCUUUUGUUUGUUUGCUUAGUUUUCGUGAUUGUUUAGUCUUGUAUCGUCAGCCCCCUUUUGUUUUUGUUCUCUUUUUAAAGACCUAGAGAAUGCUGUGUGCAUCAUUGCCAGGGUUGAGUCAUCAACAGAUGUUGGUUGGUGGUGCUGUCAAGGAACUUUCAGCAGCUAUGGCUUCUUUGAAUGUUUAUAGCAGGUGUGGUUUUGAUGGUCGUGUUGGAUGUUGGAUUGGGAAUGAGAAAGGAAGAUGGAACAAAUUGGCUGCUGCAAGUACAAUGGCACCAAAGAAGAGGAGGUUGAGCAUUUCCCCUCUGGCUUCCUCUGCUCUAGCAGAAACCCCAUAUACAUCUAGAGCCGAAUUCUAUCACGAGGUUCUUAACGAUGCUAGAGAAAAAUUUACCCAGGAGAUAUCUUUCCAAUCCAAGGACAAAGAUAUUUCUUUGGCAAAGGCUUUGCUUUACGUGGCCUCUGAAGACGAGGCAUUUAUGGCUUUCAACCGGGAGAUGGAUGCUCAUUCACUCCAAAUUGAGAGGAGUUCAGCUUCAUUGGCUUCUCAUGCCACAGAUUGGACUUGCGUGGAGGCCAUGCCUCUUGCUGGAAAAAAUAUGAAUGAAUGGAUGGUUGAGUUGGAUGUUAUUGCGAGAGAAGUGGAGGCGGAGCUAGUUUCAAGAGAAAUAGGAUGCGAUUUGGUUGAAGUUUUAGAUGCCGUGAAUAUGGUGCUUUUCAAGUCAAGGGGUUUCAAAAGGUCACCUGUACUUGUGGAUUCAAAGUGUGCAUACCUGCAUUCAGUAUUAAGCUCUGGAUAUUGUAGUGCAAUUUUGCUUAGUGUCAUUUAUAUUGAAGUCUGUCGAAGACUUAAUCUGACCAUUGUGGGAUCCCGAGUUGGGGAAGAUUUUUUGAUAUGGCCUCAAACUGGAAACCCUGAGGAGCUAUUCAAGGUUAUCUCUGGUUAUAGCUUGUUUGGUAUUGUUAAUGGGAAGUGUGUCGAUGACCCUAGAGCAAAGGCUUCUGACAUCAAUAGCAAUUCUUUGCCGGGGCUUGAGUUAGCAACAAACCGAGAUAUUAUUGGAAUUGCUUUGGCUAAUUUGAUGAGGCUUCACUGGAAACGUGCUUCAAGAGCAAAUCAUGGUUUGAUGCUGACUUCUCCGCUUAGAUCUGUUGAUCAUGCAGAUGAUAAGUCUAGCAAGACUAAUUGUCUGAAUGUCCCAUUGUUGCGGCCUCAAGAUUUGAGGUUCAAGAUGCUAAAUUGCAACCUUUGGCAUGAGAAAAGGAGAAUUGAGAAUAUUGGACGCAUAUUGUUAUUUUAUUGAUUCUGACAUACUACUAAAACUCUUAACAUUCCACUAAAAUAACCACUUAAUCAAUCUUGCUGCGAUAUAAUAGAUGCUUAUACCUCCAUUUAAGUUUAUAACAUAACGAACUAUAGGGUAAAAGAUUCCUCACUGAUCUAGCUUCAUAUUGGUAUUAAAAGCCCUUUCUAUUUCAAUAUACUGAUCAAAUUGAAAAUGACUAGAUACUGCAUUAUGCAGAUAGAUUGACUUUCUUUUUACAUACUUUUAGCCUCUUCGCCCUCUUACUCCUUUAAUGUUGUUUCUCUUCACCUCUCCGACAUUCCUUUUAGAAAUCCAAGAAAGCUAACCUUAUCUUUCUCCCUUUCUGAUCUUUAGGAUUUGAUGCUCUUUUUAGAUACUGUAGAUACAAAAUAUACCAUGUUUGGAUGCAUUUAUUAUAUUUGAUAGUUGAGGCCAACUAUUCGGGGUUUUUUGUUCCACCAAAUCUAUUAGUUUUUCUUACAAAAUCAAGUCAAUUCUCCUAACCAAAUGUUGUUAAACAGGCAAAUAUGCUUGCCUGAUGAUCAACCAUUAAUUACUUAGAAAAGGAAGUGGUAUGCUGGGGGUGGGGGUGGGGUGUUACAGAAGUAACAAUGAUACCUCAUCCACUGUCACAUAGAAAUGCAUGAUGGUCUUUUUGCAUCUACAUUCUCUUUUAGGGGACCAUCUGUUUCUGUUUAGAGAUAUCCAUUCAGCACUCUUUCCUGCUUUUUUUCCGUUGUGCAUAAUAUUGAGGUGGUAAUAAUUGGUACCUGUUAUUUCUUCGUUGUAUAUCAAGUAACAAUGAAGUAGGAAUUGAAUCAUUUGCCAAAUUGCAGUACACACAUGGGACAUAUAGAGUUUUUAAGCUAUCAAAUAGGGCCAUAACACUACUUGGCAUUUAAUGAUUGUCUUUUAAGCAUUAUGUUUUAUCUAACGUGCAGAACCAUGCUAGUCUCGAGUAAGGAUGGAUCAUUUUCCAUCUUACUAUUCUCGAUGAUAAGCAAAACGAUCCAAGAUUUGUGUAUUUUCUUAACUAAUUGCAGGUGUUGUGCUUAAAUUAAGGUUUUUCUGGUUAUCACUCAGAGAUUUCUGACCUUUGCAUUAGGUCAUUAACUUGUAUCUGUAUGUAAUAUCUGUUCACUUAUAAUGACAUUAUGUCUCUCUCUGGAAUGACACAAUACUUUCUAGGCUGGCCAUUAUGGCUUCAGAAAGAUUGCUCAUUCUGCAGCCACACAAUUGGGCUCUGAGGAGAGACCAUGGAAUGAUGUUGUACUAUAGUAGGGAAUAUGAAGAGGCAGUUCAGGAGCUUAGCAUUUGCAUGGCCUUUGCCCCAGAAGAAGAAGCAGAAGUUUUGGAACCAUUUGUUGAGAAGCUACACUUGUUGCGAGUCGAAUCGUCUUGGAAGUCUCAGGGAAAGAAAGGCCAUUUAACAGUUUCUUGAACUGUUUCUGGUUUGUAGAGCCAUUGAGCUUGUAUUAAGAGCACAACCAGUAGAACUUUAGCUGCAAUAUCUUUUUUUUGGGCCUUGUGUACAUAUUUUCCUUCAACCAGAGGCUAAAUUUGCAUCCUUUCUAUAAUGAGAUGAAUAACAUAAGUACUUAAUGGAAAAA